RNAcentral lists this transfer RNA (66 nucleotides) under Rhagophthalmus ohbai. RNAcentral's name for it is "tRNA-Ser(UCN)". Lineage: Eukaryota; Metazoa; Arthropoda; Insecta; Coleoptera; Rhagophthalmidae. The record is from RNAcentral.
AGUUAAUGAGCUUGUAAUUAAGCAUAUAUUUUGAAAAUAUAAUAAAGAAAUAAUUUCUAUUAACUU